UUUCAAUAAUAGUAUAUUUGAAAGAUAAUAUAUAUUUGUAUAAAUGAGUUUAUUAUAUGUAGAUGUAAAUGUUAUAAUUGUAUAUAGUAUAUUUGUCUGUUAUUAAAAGGAAUAAUUAAAUAAUGAAACUAAUACCUAAGAAUUUAAUAAAAAGGGUACUUUACUGUCAUUGUUAAUAGUAAAUAAUGGAAAAAAAAUAAUGAAUGAUGUUUAAUAUUAUGUAAGAAACAAAAGCAUUAUGGUUAUAAAACAAUCUGCAUUAGGAUAUAUAAAACAAAAGCAAAAAUCAAAUAAGAAGCAUUUAUCAAAUUCAUAUUUUUUGUUGUAAAACUUGAAUGAUGAGAAAUAUCAUUUUCAUUUUAUAGGUUUGAGAAGAGAAACCUUCCUUGAAGAAACUCCUAACACUAGUUGCCGAUCAUAUUCUCCAUAUGAAGAAGUAUGUGNUGCUUAAAACGUUCUUUUUCACUAUCAAGUGUGUUGUUGUAUCAUCUUCAAGAAAAAGGAGAUUCUCUCACUACAUAAGUUUAUGGAGAUCAUCUUCAAUUACUUCAAUCUGCUCCAAAAGAGAGCACAUACAACAACAAUUAAGUUAUGUGUUUUAUGUAUAUUAAGUGAUAUUAUGACUUAACUUACAUGUGUUUUCUCUUCAAUUUCUAUAUAUUAUUUCUUUCAAAUUAAUCC
Molecule: long non-coding RNA, 681 nt
Filed under: Vigna radiata
Lineage: Eukaryota; Viridiplantae; Streptophyta; Magnoliopsida; Fabales; Fabaceae
Description: long non-coding RNA (VRAD_LNC016131)
Source: RNAcentral